RNAcentral lists this ribosomal RNA (252 nucleotides) under uncultured bacterium. RNAcentral's name for it is "partial 16S ribosomal RNA". It matches the Rfam family "Bacterial small subunit ribosomal RNA", at positions 524 to 776 of the family's 1533-position model. The record is from RNAcentral.
UACAGAGGGUGCAAGCGUUGUUCGGAUUUACUGGGCGUAAAGCGCGCGUAGGCGGUGUGUCAAGUCGGAUGUGAAACCCAAGGCUUAACCAUGGAAGUGCAUUCGAAACUGACAAACUAGAGUCUCGGAGAGGGUGGCGGAAUUCCAGGUGUAGAGGUGAAAUUCGUAGAUAUCUGGAAGAACAUCAGUGGCGAAGGCGGCCACCUGGACGAAGACUGACGCUGAGGUGCGAAAGCGUGGGGAUCAAACAGG